Long non-coding RNA from Callorhinchus milii (elephant shark), 397 nucleotides. RefSeq lists it as uncharacterized. Lineage: Eukaryota; Metazoa; Chordata; Chondrichthyes; Chimaeriformes; Callorhinchidae. The transcript is spliced from 4 exons. The record is from RefSeq and is a predicted model, not a curated record.
CUCUGACAUCUAUAAUACAAUGAGUGACCUCAGUUACAGGCCAUUCAAAAUAUCAGGCACAGAUGUACAUAGCAGAAGUCAUAAUAUGUAGCUGACCCUGUGCUUCCCUGGGGAACAGUGGAGAGCCUAUCACUCUGCACAUUUACUUAUUCAACACACAGUGAAUCGACUCCAUUGGAGUAGAAUACACUGCUUGCUUCUCACACAUGCUCUGAAUUUUCUGAGCGAGCCCUGUGGAGGUUCCUAGCACGGAGAUGUCUGCCUUUUUUUAUCUUGUUUGGAUUCUGUUGUAGCUCAGAUGUCAGCUCUUCAGAACUUUCUAUUUCCAUUCCCUUUCACUGGGGAUAUCUUAGUCACAAGAUCACAAGAAAAGCAUGAAUUCAAGCUCAGAAGAAGG